CAAAAUCUCACAGCCUUCAUUCAACACUCUGCUAGAAAACCCUAAUCAACAAAUCUGCAACAAAACCCCAUUUUCUCUUCAUCUCUUUCUAGAAGCACUUAAGUUAAAAGCCACUUCUCCAACUUUCAGCUUGGAAGUAAGCAGCUGAUCAGCUGAGCAGGAAAUUAAGAAAGCCUUUUUGUUUGAUCAAUAAUUGCAAUGGCAAAGCAGAUGCAGAUGAGAUUGUUGUGUUCUUGGAUGGAGGCUGCACCUGCAGUUUUGAUAUCCCACAACAAGACUUCAACUUGUCCUGAACUAGAGACAAUAACUGAAGAGUGGGAGCUGGAGGCUGAAGAGAAAGACCUGCAGGAGUCCAAAAAAUGAAAAUUUUCUUCUUCUCAUGUCCUGAUUGUUAAUUUACAUAUACAUAUAUAUACAUAUAUAUAUGUAUGUAUAUGUAUAUGUUUUUUUUCAAGUUUUUGUGUGAACUUGUAGAAGUUUUGGGACUUGGGUUGAAUUAUAGGACCCUAAAGUUUUGAGGUUAUGUCCAAACAAAUGAACAGAAUGUAUAGUUUCAAUGGCUUCCGUUCCAUCUUAUAUCUUAUGGAGGAAAAAAAGAUGCCUUUGUAUGUCUAGUUGAUGUAAUUUUAGGGCUAGAUUUUUGGAAGGAUUUCAUUUUUUUGGACGUUAUAACUGAUUAUUCAUCAAAAAUGUUGAUUUCUGCAAUGCUGUUGAAACCAAAGAGAUGUUAAACCUUCUUAAAGCACAAUCAUGACUCUCUCCCAUAGGUUCGUAGAGGAAUGAUGAACCAUAGAACAAGACACAUUCUGCAUAAUAUCUAACGGAUUUCUUGGUUCGGGCCGAAGAAGAGGAUGUAAAAGCGAGUAUGUUUGGCAUUAAUUGGGACAUUUAACACAUUAACAAUGAACUUGAAAAGGUCUGUCACAUGUUGAUCACCAUGCAAAACAACAUAAGAACAAUAUUAAAAUACUACAAUAACUCAUAUUAUUCAUAAGAAAAUGAGAAAAAAAUAAUCAUUUUAUUAUAAUAAUAGCUGAAUAGUAUUAAUCGCAUCAAUCAUGUACACAUCGCCCUCCAUGUUCGUACAUAUUUUGAAAGCAUAUAACAUGUCGUGCCUGAGACAGGCACCUAUUAUGCCGGUUAAACUGCACCUCUUAGGAGUAGUGAUAAUUUGCAAAGCUUAAAACAAGAACAUUGAGUGCUCAAUUAUGAGAGGUGAACUUCACACAAUGUCGCACAUGCUUUUUAAUUUCUAAUUAUCAGAUUGGAUAAUUAAAUAAAAUCCACGAAAUGAUUCAACAUAGUUGUAUAAGAAGCUAAUAAGGAUAUGUGUUUGUCAUUUCUCCUCAAGAGCCUUCAUAGUGGGAAUCUUUCUGAAAAAUAAAUAUCAUUGUUAGGCAUCUAAACCAUCAAUUAGAUCCACUUUAAAUAUCAUACCUUUCAAAAAUUAGUCCAAUAGAUAAUUGUCUAGCAAUCUAACUAAAAAGUUAUUAUUGACAUUCUAAAAUAGUAUUAUAGAUGUUGCUCUAGUGAAAUAAAUAAAUGAAAACUAAUGAAAAUGAUUUGAAAACUUUGAGUUUUAACGAUAAAGACAAAAUAAAGGGUAAAGUGAAUAGUACCAAGUUUGAAUUUUUAAUGUAAAAAUGUUGUUUUUUCGUUAAUGUGAAUAGUAUUGCGGGUUUUCCGUUCAAACUCUCAAUAAAUAAAGGAGGAAAAAGUACUUGAUAACCUUUUUUCUACUACCAUUAACAACUCUCUUUAAUUAUCAUUUUGAUUGUUUAGAAACACUAUGUUAAUUUGUUUACUUAAUUAAAAUUAGGUGAUGAAAAGAAUUUUGAUUCAAAUGAUUCUUUAGAUUAAUAUUUAAGUAGACCCACAAAUAAUGGACAUUUUAAACGUUUAGGGGAAGGAUAGGUGUCGAUGAAUUGAAGGCUAUGUGGACAUCAACUCAUUGCACCAACUUUUAAGACCGCACUGAUUUGAUAGUAUUUCAUUUAGUUAUAUUAUCAAACAGACAGACUAAAUGCUCACUUUUAACAACAUCAAUAAUAUCUUUAACUUGAUAAUUAUCAUCUGCACAAUCUAUUAGGUGUGAAAUUUUAUUAUAAAAAACCUCGAUAUUAGUUAGAGCGUGAUUAGGAUAUUUAAACUCUUCUUCUCUCAAAAAUGCAAUGAGUGUGGGAUAUUUCCACACGCUCCUUACGUGGAACCCCAAUUUGUGGGUCACAUAUAGGAGAUCUACACAUUGAUAACUACGUGGAGUCAAGAAAACUCACCCUACAUGCAAGGCCAAUGGUCCCACCAUCAUCGUGCUGGGCCAAGGGGAUUCACCAAUCACGUGGCAAUACAGGCCACUCCCUGGCUCUAAUAUCAUAUUAAAUUAUCAGAGAGGCGGGCCAAAAGCCUACUUCUAACAAUACCGAUAUUGUCUCCAACUUGGUAUUUACCACUUACACAAUCCGUUAGGUUUGAAGUUUUAUCAUAAAAAGUCUCAGUAUUAGUUAGAGUGGGGUUAAAAUAUUUAAACUCUUCUUCUCUCAUAAAUACGGUCGUUGUGAGAUAUUUGAACAGUAGAUUGGAUCUACACUUUACCUUUUUUCUAAAAAAAAAGUCUAUUAUUAUUAUGGAGAGGGAAAAGAAUUCGAAACUAUUAUAGCAAUUUAGGAGAGAGGAAUUUUUGAACCUGGAACUCAUGUGUAGAAACCCAAUACCCUAUACCCUAGGAUGUUAGACGGCAUGCAAGAUCUAUACUUUUUACCCUUUUUCACGACAAUUAAGAAAUUGUCAAUUCAAUUGGUAAUCGAAUGUUAUAGAAAUGUGACUUCUUGAACUAAUCAAUGAAUAGUAUUACAAAAUCAAUAUAUGGUUAUAAGUAAAAAAAUUUAUUGUGGAAAGAAAUCUUAUACAAAUUACAAGAAGUACUUGUUUUACAAGAAAUGGUAAGGUAGGUCUCGGCUGCUCCCAAGUCUCGAACCCGAGACCUACCGCUCAUGGGCGAAGGCACUUGCCAUCGCACCAAGUGCGACCUCUCCCAGACCCUGCGUAAAGCGGGAGCCUUGUGCACUGGGUACGACCAGCCACCGACGGAGUUUGAACCCACACUGUUAUGCAAAGGCUCAACACCUUUCCACCGUUGUGUGGUAAAGGGCCACUUGCAAAGAUGACCUUUUGUUCACAAACGAUUUAUCUUUCCUUAAGCCCUAACUCACCCAAUAAAAUCCCAGUGCAACUCAAAUUGAAAUCGUUUUGGUUUCACACUAUUUUCUACGUUUACUGCAAAUUAAUUCUCAUAAAAAUUGCGAAGAAGAAGACAAACCCCAAAAACCAAGCAACCUGAAUUUGCUUCUUCUCUACUUUCUCCCGCCACUCUCUGGUUCAAAUUUAAUGAUUUUGUUUUGGUUGGAUAUUUCAACAAUGGACAUCAAAAUGAAUUGAUAUGUAAUGUGGACUUGCUGCAUAUGUAUAGGUGCUGAUACUUCUGUACACAAGUGUGGAAGAACCGAGGAAGGAUAGUCUUUUGUAAAGGGUUUCGAGUUUGAUCAGUAGAAAAAAAUGGUGCAAAGUCUGUCACUGAGUGCUCUAAGAUUAUUUCUUCAUUGGUGCAAUAAUUUUAAAGACAAGCGCAGAGCAAGAGUGCUAAUGAGGAUACUUUAGGAAUAAAAGUGGGUGGGAAAAUAGAAUUUUAAUUUUUUUAACUUUUUAUGGUGGUUGGAAUUAUAAUGUGGAUGGACAAAUAGGACAAUGGAGUGGGUCUAGUAGUUCUCUAAGACCAUCUCCAACCCUUGGGCUAAAAGCCAAAUUUUUUAGCCCGGAAAAUUUAGCUUUUAGCUCAGAAACAGUUUUUUUACUCCAACCCUUCUGGCCUAAAAUUUUAGCCGGGAUUAUUGAAGAAUGAACUUAGGCUAAUUUUUUUCUUAAAUUAACUAAAAAAAAACAAAUUAUGUAGACUAUCGUAAAUUAAUUUGAUGAACGUUUUAAUCUAAAAAUAUUUAAAUUCCGAUAAAUAUUGAAAAAUCACUAAAUCGAUACAUGAAACUCAUGAAACACCAUGGAAGAAUAUGAAAAUCAUGAUAGAGAUGUAUAAACACAAAAUACAAAAAACACACAAGACACGCAAAACACAUGUGUAGCACAUACACAUGUGAAGGACAUACAAAACUUUCAACUUUCACCAAUCAUUCAACUUUCACCAAACUUUCAACUUUCACCAAUCUUUCAACUUUCACCAAUCUUUUAACUCAUCAAUCAUCCUCUAUAUAAGCACAAGUUGAAUAUCAGUUGAUCACACAAUCUUUCAACUUUCAAAGUGUUUUUGUUUCCCAAAAAUCCUCAAUAUCUCAUCAAUGGGUGAUAGAAUAAGGUGUAGCAGGGCAAUGCAGAUGGCACAAUACAAAGCAAGCCUUGACAUUGAGGAUACAUAAAUGUUCAACGCAGAAGCUGAACUUGCAAACUCGCUUAGGCAAUAUGAGCACCAUGUCGAAUCUAGCUAUCAUGGUUCUGUCACGGGGCAUUCAUUUGUGCAGCGUGAUAGAAAAGAGUGUCAUGACCGAAUGAUGAAAUAUUAUUUUAUCGAGCGUCCGAGAUUUCAUGCUCAUGAUUUUCGGAGGCGGUUUCGGAUGAGGAGAGAGCUUUUUGAUAGCAUAUUGAACACAUUUGUCAAUCAUGACCACUACUUUGCAAGGAAGAUAGAUGUCGUCGGCCGACAAAGUCUAUCACAUCAUCAGAAACUCAUAUCUGCAUUUCAGAUGCUAGCUAAUAGAUGCUCUGCAGACUUAACUGAUGAUGCUAUUGAGAACCUGAACCACUUUCGUCAAGCAAUUCAAGCCAUAUAUGGAGCCACAUACCUCCGUAAGCUAAAUAGUGAAGACUUGAAGAGGCUUCUACGCAAGGCAGGCAAAAUAGGUUUCCUCGAUUGUAUGCAUUGGGAGUGGAAGAAUUGAAUUGUCCUAUUGCUUGGGUUGGCCAAUUCAAGGGCCAUCAUAACAAGUCAACCAUCGUGCUAGAGGCUAUGGCGUCUUAUGACACAUGGAUUUAACAUGCAUUCUUCGGCACUCCUGGAUCAAACAACGAUAUCAACGUUCUUUGGUCUUCACCUCUGUUUGAUGAUGUUGUCAAUGGAUGGGCACCAUAAUUUCGAUACAAGGUAAAUGGUAAUAGGUAUGAGCUAGGUUACUACCUAACUGAUGGUAUUUAUCCUAGUUAGUCUACCUUUGUCAAAAAUUGUUCUCAUCCCGAUAGUGCAAAGAAGAAAUUAUUUUCGCAGAGGCAAGAGUCUUAUAGGAAGGAUAUGGAAAGAGCGUUCGGGAUGCUACAAGCUCAAUGGGCCAUUGUUAGAGGGCAUGCAAGACUUUGGCAUACCGAAGACCUCCAUUCAAUCAUGAUGACGUGCAUAAUUUUGCACAACAUGAUUGUGGAAGAUGAGUACAUCGAAAUUGAAGAAGAUUCAGACGAAGAUGUGGAUGAUGACCAACUAACACAUGCGUUAUUGCAAGAGAUGUUGAAUAUCUCGCUGCAACCACAUAUGAGACUUGACAUGAUACGGUCACAUUGAGUGAGUGUAUGAGACGUUUAAAUAGAAUUCAAGCUCCUCAAGGUUAUGACACACUCCAAAAGGAUUUGGUUAAGCAUGUAUGGCGCCGAGAAGGUGAACAUUGAUGAUGUUGGUUGAGUAUUUAUGUAAUAAUUUGAAGUAUACUAUGUUGGUAUUUUAUAGUAAUAAAUUUUAAGUGUUUUCUUGUGCAAAGUAUUUUAUGUAGUACGUUGGAAAAUUUAUUGAAUGGAGGUUGAAUUAUUGAAGGCAUCUAUUCUACAUCAAAGUGUGGAAUAAUAAGUACAAUAAUUAUUGAAGCUAUCUAGAUUAAUAGAAACAAUAAUUAAUAAGCCAUAAAUUUAAUACACACGACAAUUAAUAAAGUACAUAAACUUAAUACAAACGACAAUUAAUAAACCACAUAAACACCACCACCGCCCCUCUCGUCGCCGUUGCAGUUUUCAUGAAACUUUUCAAUGAUUUUAUCCCACAAAACCUUUUUAUUUUGAUUCGUGCCAAUUGUACCAUCUUCGCUAACAGAAACUCAUGUCAAGCAUAGAGCAACAUCUUCCUCACAGGUCCAAUUACAACCUUUAAUAUGCUCUCUUGCCAUGUUGAACAAUUUGGAAAUGGAAAGAAAUAGUAGAAAGAAAAAUUGGAAGAAUUGUAGGAGAAAAUUGAGUUUUGUGUGGAUGUUUAAACAAAUACAUAGGUAUUUAUAGAGUUUUUGGAUGAAUUUUGAGUUAAAUAUUUUUUUUUAAUUAUUUUAGCCGUUAGAUUUAAAUUUGGGACGUUAGAUCUUUUUUUUACCGUUAGUUUUGAUUAUAUUCGAUUUUAGCCGUUAAAUUCAAUGUAUUUCAAAAUUACAUUUAAAAAAAAAUUGAAUCUGGACCGUUAGAUCAACCAACGGGUCCGUAAAGCCCAGUCGUAGGAUGCAAAAAAGAGCCAUUGGGCAUUUGGCUUUUAGCCCAAAGAUUUGGAUUGGGUUGGGUUGGGUUGGGUUUGGGGUGGGGGGAAUGAGUGGGGUAAUUUGGCAAAUAGCCCAGGGUUGAGUGUGGUCUAACGAAGGGUUUGUGGGAGGUGAAAAUAAGUAUGUGGGUAGUAUCACCCAAAAUGUAAUUACAGAGAAGAUUCUAGAGUUAAGUUGUUUGGGUUAAAACUUGAACUUUGGGCUCAAGAAGGAGUUGGCCCAAAAGGAGGUCUGAAAAAGGGAAAAGCUCGAAGCCCAGCCAAAGCCCAGAAGGCAGAAAAGGCCUUUCUCGACUAGGUGUAGAUCAUUUGCACCACUUGCUCACCUGCCUAGAGACCAAGUGGUAUAGACCAGCCAGUUAAUCAGCCCAAAAGCACUUUACAGUGGCAGUACAAGUAAAUAACUGAUGAGUCACUACCCUUCAAGCUGCAUUCGGGAAAGAUUACUGCUACAGGAGGCCAAGCCGAAGUGUCUAUAAAAAGAAGAAAGAGAAAUCAGAGAUAAGGACACUCAAUCAAACAAACCAAUACAAGUAUAAACUCUGCUCAAGCCAGAUUUGCCUUCAAACGAAGCUGUAGCCAGCCCAAGCCUUCAUCCCUUUCAGGUUAAACCUUCAUCAAAAGCCUUUGUAAUAGCUCUGCUACCUUGUCUUAAGCUUGCUGUAGUAUCGAUUUUCUUUUGUAAACUCAUCUCCCUACCCCCCCUUUCUAAAGCUCUCAAACCCCUUGAUAAACCACAAAGAUAGGAAGUUGCAAGAUGAUCAACCUUGCCCGAAAAGGUUAAACCUUGCCCGACCCUCUUUUUGUUUUGUCUUUUCAUUCAUUAGCCUAGCAAUAUGUUGUAUACUUCCAGUUGUAUUCAAGUUAUUUCUAGUAAGAUGACGAUUAAAAGACUCUCUCAGUUCUUGAAUCCGAUUUGAAUAUGUCUUCACAGUUCAAACCAGAUCUAAGUUCUAAGCUCUCAGGCAUGUAAGAUUGAUCAUUCAAAAGUCUUUGGCCUCAAGGCAUAAAAAAUAACCUUAUGUGGACUUAACCCAUCCACGACAAGCUUUGAUAACAAGAAAUCUGAAGUUACUUGGGGCGCAAGUAAUCGAUCUAUCUCUUAGUUUUAUUUCUAUUAAAUUAUGAUUAUAGUAGAACGUUUAAGUAUAAAAGGAAUUCUGAUGGGAAGCCUCAAGGCCUAUAUCUAAGGCCCUACAAAGGCACCUAUUUGGGUUCAUUCUGCUCUGCGGGCUUGGAUAAUAAGAAGUAUAAUGGUUAUAACACUUCUGCAAACAAUAAAACAGACAUUGUAUAUUCGAGUACUGGGUUAGUUCUUGAUCAGAAGCCUCAAGGCCUACACCUAAGGCCUCACAAAGGCACAUGUCAUAACUAACACAGCCUCUCGGGUAUAUGUACAACUAAAUUCAACAUCCAUUUUACAUCUGCCAUGCUAAAGAUAGCAGUGGCACGCCUAAGCACUUAAAAGUUAAUCUUGAUUGUGAGCCUUAAGGCCUAUACCUAAGGCCUCACAAAGGCACCUUUCAAAGUUAACUCUGUCCUUCUCUUUCAGCCUUGCCCUACAAGCCUUGCCCGACAAGCCCGCCAGUGAAGUAGAAGCCCGACAGAAAGCAUCAACCGGCGCCGACCUCUCGGGGAGCUGUGUGCUCGUCGGCUAUAAGACAUCCCCGACGGAAAUUCUAGCCACGAACAUAGUUUUGGCAUGCUCGGUGGGACCUCAUGUGUUUUGAUCUUGCAUGUCCAAAAAGAAAAGCCAUAAACUUUGCAGAAAGAAUACGAAGGACGGUUCUUCUCAACCUUUGCUACAAAUGGCAAAUCAAUCAGGAAAUCCUUCUUCCCCAUCAGGACAGGUGGUCUUGGAAAGCCCAUCUUCAUGUGGAAAGUCGGAAGGAAGAGGAACUAAUGAGGAAUUACAAGCUACUAUGAUACAAGUAUUAAGGAGUAUGGAAAAAAUCUCUUUGGAAACCAAGGGGGAAGUCAGUAGACUGUGUACCUUAACAGGGAAUCUACAGAGAAGGUUAGAUCUGGAGUUUUCCACUCCAAAAGGUGCUCAGGGAAGUGGGAUGAGCCAAGUUACCAUCAGAAGUGAACUAGUUAUUCCCCUAUUUCCACUGUUAGAAGAAGAAAAGGAUAGGGGAAAGAAGAAAGUAGUUCUUGAAGGAAGUCAACCCGUGAUUAAACCAGUUCUGGAGAAAGAAUUUCCUAGCUUCCCAUUAUUAUCAUUUAAUAAUAGGAAGCAAAGCGAGUAAGAAAGGACGAAGUAUGGAAUGCCCAUAACAACAAGAGAGUCCAGCAGAAAAAAAGCUCCGCAACUUCGGAUAAACCUCUUCCUUAUAGGCCACCUCCGUUGGCUUAUAAGGGAGGAGGAGCCAACUGGAGAAAGCCUGAAUCAAAAAAGGAAGCAUUCGCGGGCAAUGACCGAAGCCCGAAGAACGAGUCUGCCCUUCUCUUCCAGAAUAAUAAUACAGCUACUCAACAACUGAGGGAGGAAUUGGCUGAAUUAAGGAGGACAGUGGCUCAAAAUGCUCAACCACGGACUCGUCCAAUGUUCAGGGUUACCUAUCAAAAACCUUAUCUUGAAUACGUUGAUGAGCAAAAUCCAUUUCCUCUCAACUUCAAGAUGCAUGCAUUCCCAACGUUCACAGGUAAAGACAACAGUGUGUCCUCCAGAGACCACAUUUUCAAAUUCUCCAAUCAUUGUGUGGCAUAUGAAGACAACCCAAACUACAAGUUAAGGUUGUUUGGGAAUUCAUUGGCAGGACUAGCAUCUCAGUGGUAUUCUCUAUUACCCCCUAACUCUAUUGCCAACUGGGGCCAGAUGGAGAUGGCUUUCCAUGAACAAUUUUACAGAAUAGAACCAGAAAUGACUAUUAAUGAUCUGGUUAAAGUCAAACAAUACGAACAUGAGUCCACAGAGGACUUCAUGAUGACGUUCAGGAAGACGAGGAUGAGAUGCCAAUUCCCUGUUAACCAAGCUCAGCUCAUAUCAAUUGCUCAAAAGGCUCUGAGAUUACCUUUGAGGAAAAGACUUUAUGAUACACAAUUUAACGAGCUACAAGAAUUGGUGAUUGUUGCCACAAAGUAUGAAAGACUGUUGCUAGAAGAGCAGCAAGUGAAGCAUACUUCCAAAGCUCCUCCCUUCUACAAAAACAAAGCUGCAAUUCAUCGUGUGGAGAUAGGAGAAAUCGGGCCAGAACAUAAAGAUGGCCAUGACUAACAGGAAGUUGAGGUGUGUGCUGCUGAGAUGACCAUGCCUUUCAAACCAUUGAUGGUGAAAGGAUUAGUUCAACCCAUCAAAGACCAGAAAAUUGUGAUGAACGAUGGAGGCUUCGUCCCUAUGAAACCUCCCAAGUACCAGAGUUAUUCGUUCGAUCUGGCCAAGGCACCUGAGAUUUAUGAAGAACUGGUGCGGGCAAGAGUAAUUUUGCCCGACAGUACUAAAAAGAUGCCCAAGCCAGAAGAGCUGAGGGGGAAGAAGUAUUGUAAGUUACACUAUACCUUCAACCAUUCUAUAACCAAUUGUGUCCAGUUCAGAGACUGGAUACAAGACCUUAUAGUGAAGGGAAAACUGUUACUUGACAAGCCCCAAGCUAGUAUGAUGGUUGAUACCAAUCCUUUCCCAGAAGCCCCUAUCAACACGAUCAAUCUAAUUUGGGUGGGGAAGCCAGGGUCAUCAGUUGUUACGACAGAAGAAAUAGGUGGAUCCCAGGUUGUCCCAACACACUUGCUCAAAUAAAAGUACCAUAAGGGGGACCAAGGGAUCAUGAUCAUGUCCCAAAAUUGGUAUUAGUGAGGGAAGCAGAAGAAAGAAGAAAAUAAAUAAGGGGGCAAAGAGUUGCCCGAAAUAAAGUUCAGACAAGAACCAGAAGCAAAGCAAGCAAAAGACAAAAGACAAAAUACAUGUUCAUUCUGCUAAAAGAAGGGUUACAAAUGAUUCUAGUCUAAUAAUUUUACAUCUUUACUCAGGGUGAUUAUUUGAGAAUGAUAUGUUUGCAUAAUGGCAAAAAUCCUACUAGGUUCAGCCAAAACAGUAUAGCUAUUUGCAAGUUGCGACCUCGUAUGCUCUAGUUCCGAGUUUGACUUCUUUACUUCUUCGAUUUGAUUUUUGAGGGUGCCAAGAAGAGUUGUUUGCUCAGCUUUAAGAACAACCAGUCGUUCCUCUAGCGUCUAGAUUUCAGAAGUCACCACUCCGAUCCUUUCUUUUGUCAGCAAACCAUCAUCCAUCAAUCUUUCGACCUGAGCAGAAGUACUUGAUUCUUUCUCCUGGAAACAUCUUACACGAUUGGCUUGUCUUUCAGCUCUCUUAUGUUGAUCCCGGAGAGCCUUCAGGUUCUCGAAGAAAGAGAGAAAUGAAUCAUGUUGAGUUUUGGAUAGCUGACUGGCUUUAAACAGCUCCAUUGUAACCUUCUCUAUAUCAUGAAGAGCCUUGAGGCUGAACAAAGCUGAGAAGUCCUUCCUAGCCCAUUCUUGGAAAGCUUGUUGUUGCUCUCGAAGACCGAAAGAUACGACAAUUCUUCAAAAAGUUCGGGCAACUUAGCAGUUUUUGAAAAUAAAGAAGAAGGAGGAGGAUUUUGCACUCCAGUUUCCUCUAAUGAAGUAGUACCUACUGAUGGGGCAGUUUCUGUCUUCCCAGUCUUCUCAAUUCUAGGAUGGGAAAUCCCGGCACUUCCAAAAGUUAAAUGAGGCCGGGGGAGCAUUGACUUACGAACCAAGCGAGGAGGAGAAGCUUCUUCCAGAACUUGCUGCAAAGACCAAAGAAGACCAGAUUAAGACAAAAAUACAGUUUGAAGCAAAAUAAAGCUUUGGGAAGAAGAAAUAUACCUGAUUGAGCCCUGGGGCUUCACAAGGAAGAGUACCAAUUCUUGGUUGAGGGGAAGACUCUCUACCACUGACAAGGGAAGAAAAAGCUGCGCCUGAACCUUCGCCAAUGCCCUAGAAGUAUCCAGGGAUAGCAACAAUUGUUAGUAAGCAGAUUGUAAGAGGAAAACAAGAAGAAAAUACCUCCAUACCUGAGUUUGACCUCGAGAAGAAGGAGGUUCAUCAAUGGUAACCGUCAGGCAAGCAAACACCUGCAAAACCGCUACCCCUGAGGUCACAGGAAUCUCAGGGACUAUGGGUUCAUCACAUAUUGCCACUGACGGUUGGGGUGGUUCAUAUGAUGGUGGGGGGCUGCAAGAAAUAUGAAUAGAAGUUAAUAUGGAAGUAAUGCACAGAAAGUCAAUGUAAGGAUAGUUACUCACCAAAUUACUAUCCUCAUUCACAAAGUGCAACAUAACUCAUGUGGAUGGAUCAAAUUGAGAAGAUGGAGUUACCUCUAGGGAAGAAGGAGAAAUAAAAGACUUUAAAGGAGAACCUUGACUAGGCAAGGGGGCAGAUACCUCGACCUGGAUGAAGAUAGAAGAAGAGAAAGGUUCAGGCAUUAGCUCCAGAGACUAAAUUUGCCCAAGGUUCGAGAAAGAAGGGAAUGCACCUCUGAAGAAUUAACCCGGGGAGGAGAGAGGCUUGUUUCUCGGGCAAGUGAUGAAGAGGCCUCGGGCGGACGGAGCUUUUCCUCUCUUGCAGCCUGACUCAAGUAAUCAUGCUCAAGGUUUUGUGGAAGCAAGAAAGAUUAUGCAGACAUAAACAUAAACUAUACCUCAAGUUCUUUGAGGGUGAUAUUUCGCAAUUCUUCAGCCUUUUUGUGCAUUUCAACUCCUAAUGGUUCCUCCCUAGAAGCAAUGGCUGGUUUCUUAGAUGCUUGAGGUCCUGUUUUCAAGGAAAACAAGGGUAAUUAGAUAAAGAAGAAGGGUGGCAAUCUGAUAAAGAAGAACAAACACUUACUUGAAGAUUUUUGCUUCUUUCUGCAUGCCUCAGAAACUGGAGCAAAUAAGGCUGAAGACUUGAGAGUUUGGACGGUUCUUGUUCUCUUACUCUUUCUAGUAAGAAUUGGUCAUUUAGUCUUGGGUGGGGAUGCAGGAUCAAAAUCUGAGGUUUCGACCACAACAGCUUUCCUUCGCUUAGACACUUGGGUGGUGACUUCAUGCGCUUCUUCUUCAGCCCCUAAAUCUUCGGAAACAUCCCCACCUUCUCCAGCUUCUCGUCUUUCAGCCUCUGCCGCAGCUCCAUGAAGAACUGCUGCAUCAGCUGAGUCAUCCUUAGACUCAAUGGGUAUCGAUUCAACAUCCACUUGGGCUGCAGGAUCAGGCAAGGUAAAAUUUAAAGGGCUUCAGAAAGGGAUUGAGAAUCAAGAUAUGAAGAAAAAAAAAACCUAUCAGAAGUAACCGAUUCUUCUCCUGGAUCAUCUCCUUCUAAUUUUCAAGUUCGCCCGAACUGGGGUAUGAUUUGAGAGAAAGUUGACUGAAGAGGCGAUCAUGAGUCUCUCUCAAGUCUCCUCCAUAUUUUUUUGUCCAUUUGUCUUCCCACCAAAAAGAGAAGAGUGAAGUGCAUUCAAAAUUGAGAAAGAUGGACUUCCGGGCAGCCUGACUCAUGACUUCAAGACUACGUCGGUCACCUCGGAAGGAGAUGAUAAAUGAAAGGAAGUGCCACAAUGAACAGAGUCGAAAAACGGGAUGGGAAUGGCUUGUCUAAAGCCUAACUGCCUGCUGCAAAAGUUAGGGUGAUACACCUCCAACCUCGAUCAUAUCAAUUGCCUCAAACUCCCCAGGCCAUGUCUCUCGGUUGAAUACAACUAAUAAAUGUUUCCCUACAAAAGGAGGUGGCAUCUUCCCCAGGAGCAUCUUGAAAGGCUUGGUAAAAAAACCAAGGAUAUCUCCUCAAGACUGACCCGCCCCAUUCCAAGUCUGAUCGAGUCCUACAAACUUCGAAGAAGUAAAAGCAGGCAAAAGUGGAAUGAUCGGUAUGAGCAGCUUCAGCUAGGAUUCGGGCAGGGCCAUACCUUCUGGGAACUCUAAGUUAGCAGCCCGAAACUCUGGAAAGUACCAUUGAAGCCAUGUUUGUAUCAUCCAUAUGGGUCCAUUCAGGUUAGUCUCAAAUGGCUCGCCUUGAGUCAUUUUGAAAAGAUGAUAAAGAUGAGAAAGAAGGAAUGAACCUGUAGCUACAUCAUCAAAGUUAUGAAGAGCUUCCACCAAGGGGAUCCAUUCAACCUUCACUCUUUUAGACUUAUUGGGGAAGACAUGUUUGUUGAGCCAGUAUAAGAGGAAAUACAUGUGCUCUUGAUCUUUAUCAACAUGAGAAGAAUCUGCUCCAAAAUUCUCCUUUACGAAAGGGAUAAAUCCCUUGAAGGAGGUCCUGUAACGCUUGAAGGUUGCAGCAUUAUAUUCCAAGGAAAGGAAAGAGGCGGAUGAACUUGAGCUUUCAGCAAUUGAAGGGGGAGCCCAGUCUUGAGUAACAUCCAUUAUCCUGCCCGAUGGCCUUAGCCCGAAGACCUGGGCCAUAUCAAGAACAGUCGGAGACAUGGGACCCAUACGGAAGUCAAAAGUGUUUGUGCCCGAAUUCCAGAAAAGAAGAGAAGAAGCAAGCAGUUCGGGCUUGGGAAUAAUGGUAGUUUUUUAGAGCAUUAUCAAUUCAUAAAUGCCAUUAUUCAUCCAUUUCUUCUUAAAAAUUGGCUCUAGUUCAUCAACCCACUGAACCUAAGCCAGAUCGUUCAUCAAAGGAAAGCCUCGACGAUAUGACGACCACUUGGAUGAACAAAUGCCCGACUUAGCCAAAAAGGGAUUUGGGGAAAACCAAUUGUCCCUGGGCAUAUUGUCCGCUAUCACUGCAGGGACCUGGGAAAUCCAUGCGGGACCCAACGAUUGUACCCCAUGCACUUGCACUUCAAAGAAAAGCUCAGAAUAUAAACCUGCCCGAAGACGAUGCAGUCCGUUGAGUAAACGGCGCAAAGUGGCGAUGCCUUCGCCAGAUUCAUAGGAUAAAUGGAUUUGGCUGGAUCCUGAAGCCAUUUGAUAAAGUUUGGAAGAUGACCGACAAGGAAGACGACAAGGGUAGAUGAUGUCGGGCAAAGAGCAAAAGAGAGCUAAAAGAUUUAGAAAAGUAAAACGUCUGGGAAGUUAGGAAAUUUUCAAUUACAGAGGAAUUUCGUGCUAAGAAUGCAGAGGAUUCGUGAGUUAGUGGAAUGACUGCAGGAAAGUGAUGAUUAUCUUUGAAAAGUGUGCGAAUCCCGGGAGAGAGAGACGUGGGUAUUAAUGGGAAGCUUUUCAAUCAAUAUUGGCGCCUGGAAUUCCAGUCUGAAUAUUGAUUGAAGGGGGCACUGUUUGGGUAAAACUUGAACUUUGGGCUCAACAAGGAGUUGGCCUAAAAGGAGGUCUGAAAAGGGGAAAAGCCCGAAGCCCAGCCAAAGCCCAGAAGGCAGAAAAGCCCUUUCCCGACUAGGUGCAGAUCAUUUGCACCACUUGCUCACCUGCCUAGAGACCAAGUGGUAUAGACCAGCUAGCUAAUCAGCCUAAAAGCACUUUACAGUGGUAAUAUAAGUAAAUAGCUGAUGAGUCACUACCUUUCAAGCUGCAUUCGGGCGAUUACUGCUACAUGAGGCCAAGCCGAAGUGUCUAUAAAAGAAGAAAGAGAAAUCAGAGAUAAGGACACUCAAUCAAACAAACAAAUACAAGCACAAACUCUGCUCAAGCCAGAUUUGCCUUCAAACGAAGCUGUAGUCAGCCCAAGCCUUCAUCCAUUUCGGGAUAAACCCUCAUCAAAAGCCUUUGUAAUAGCUCUGCUACCUUGUCCUAAGCUUGCUGUAGUAUCGAUUUCUUUCUGUAAACUCAUCUCCCUACCCUCUUUCUAAAGCUCUCAAACCACUUGAUAAACCACAAAGAUAGGAAGUUGCAAGACGAUCAGCCUUGCCCGACAAGGUUAAACCUUGCCCGACCCUCUUUGUUUUUUACUUUUCAUUCAUUAGCCUAGCAAUAUGUUGUAUACUUCCAGUUGUAUUCAAGUUAUUUCUAAUAAGAUGACGAUUAAAAGACUCUCUCAGUUCUUGAAUCCGAUUUGAAUAUGUCUUCACAGUUCAAAUCAGAUCUAAGUUCUAAGCUCUCAGGCAUGUAAGAUUGAUCAUUCAAAAGUCCUUGGCCUUAAGGCAUAAAAAAGAACCUUAUGUGGACUUAACCCAUCCACGACAAGCUUUGAUAACAAGAAGUUCGAAGUUACUUGGGGUGCAAGUAAUCGAUCAAUCUCUUAGUUUUAUUUCUAUUAUAUUAUUAUUAUAGUAGAACGUUUGAGUAUAAAAGGAAUUCUGAUGGGAAGCCUCAAGGCCUAUAUCUAAGGCCCUAUAAAGGCACCUAUUUGGGUUCAUUCUACUCUGCAGGCUCGGAUAAUCAGAAGUAUAAUGGUUAUAACACUUCUGCAAACAAUAAAAUAGACAUCGUAUAUUCGAGUACUGGGUUAGUUCUUGAUCGGAAGCCUCAAGGCCUACACCUAAGGCCCCACAAAGGCACCUGUCAUAACUAACACAGCCUCUCGGGUAUAUGUACAACUAAAUUCAACAUCCAUUUUACAUCUGCCAUGCUAAAGAUGGCAGUGGCACGCCUAAGCACUUAAAAGUUAAUCUUGAUUGUGAGCCUCAAGGCCUAUACCUAAGGCCCCACAAAGGCACCUUUCAAAGUUAACUCUGUCCUUCUCUUUCAGCCUUGCCCUACAAGCCUUGCCCGGCAAGCCCGCCAGUGAAGCAGAAGCCCGACAGAAAGCAUCAACCGGCGUCGACCUCUCGGGGAGCUGUGUGCUCGUCGGCUAAGAGACAUCCCCGACGGAAAUUCUAGCCACGAACAUAAGUUACCGGUGAUGUAGCUAAUGACCGAUCCAAAGUGAGUAAUCCAGGUUGAUAGGUUUAGGGAUGGGUUCGUUUUCUUUGGUUUUGUGUUUGGGGUUAUCAAUUUGAGAGGGUAUGAAAGAGUGGGAGCCAUCAACGAAUUGCCAUAAAUCAUUACCCAUGAGAAAGGGUUUGAUUUGGCAGAGCCUGGAGAAGAUUAUGGAGUUUUUCUUUUUAAUACAUUUAUAUUAUUUGCGCUGAGGGAUAAGAGAUUGAAUUAAAAUUUACAAUGAGCUAAGUCAUAAUAAUUUUAUUUGAAUCUUUCAUUUAUAGUUAGUGAUAAGAAAUAUCACUAAACUGUAAUAUUAAGUGGCAGAAAAUUCUCAAGUUAAGAAUUAUAUUCUACCAAAUGUUGGUGUAGUAAAGUUUUUCUCCCUGUUAUUAUUGUUGGAGUAAGAUUCUUUCCCUUUCUAGUUUCCCUUCCAUUCCCUCCCUUCUUAUUUGAACAGUUACGGUUAAGCCAUGUAAACGUUUUGUGUUAAUUUUUUUAAUAGCCAGAAGAAGGCAAAAAAUAAUUUGUGAGAAAGGAAGGAAGGGAAUGAGAAUAGAUUGGAGAGAGAAUUCUAUUCCAUUAUUGUUUGUGAAAAGGAAGAAACUGAAAAUGAUUAGAUUUUUAGUACAAUAAUGCACACAUAAACAGGAACUGGCUUUGUAGGAAUUAAAGCAAUUUGGUGGAGAGCGGACACCACAUACACUACAAGAACUUUAGCCAUAGCAACACCCUUUGCAUUGGUGUGGAUUUAAGAUGAGAGCACUGACUCCGAUGGCAAUCAUCAGUAGCCACCAUGUAGCCACUGAAUAAGAAUCCAUGUCCAUUGUAAAAAACGCCACUAUUUCUACGUCCGUGUAAAAAGGAAUAGUACAAGUCUCAUUAUAUUCAAUCUUUUUGUUUAUUUAUUUGUAAUUAAAAAUAGCAAGUAAAUCUUGUCGGAGAAAAUGUCCUUUUCGCAUUAGUGUCCAGAUUGCCCUCUUUUUUUUUCUUUUUUUUUUUUUUUUUUUUUUUUCAGAAGGGCGCCCACUGAGCACCCAUUGCAUUGUCUAAUCCCAUUAUUAGUGUCAGUGGCUUUUGAUAAAAUUUAAUAUUUUUGCAAUCAAGCCUUCCAAAACAAACUUGCAAUCAAGUCCUACAAUUUCAUAGUAUACUUCCAUCCAUCUUCCAUCGGUAGUGUUCUUACACAACACGGGCAAAAUUAUAAAUUAAAACUAAUAAAAACUUGUAAGAUAAUAUCACAUAAUCAUACUAAAUUUAAAAUAGUAUAAAAACAACUAAAACUAAUUAAAAUCUACCUCCAUAAGAACUUCAUAGUUCAUAUUUGAAUAAAUCACUUAAGAUCCGAUUGUUAAAUCAUCUUUUGCACUUCUUUCUUUCUGUCAAAAAGGUUAACAAUGCAAAAAAACCACAAAUAAACAUCAUAAUUUACCUAAAAGAGCAAAGAAAAUUAAAUUUUUAGUCAUAAUGAAAAAAUAAAAGGAAAAUGAUUAUAGCCAAAAUGGAAUAGUUAUGCCUCUCUGUGCAUCCUCCUCAAUGCCAAACCUUUUUGUACUCAACACUUUUCACUACAGUACAACAAUCCAUCGUAUGAAUUAACAAAAAAUUGCAUGCAGAGGAGAUGUAACAACUCGUCCCUAAUUUUACAAUUUUAUAAAUUUUAAAAAUGUGAAUUUACGAGAAUAUCCUAGAGGCGAGGGUAUUGAUUUUUGUUGACCACUAGUUCAUGACGCGUAUGAACUAUUAACUUACCGUAUUCCAAAAGUAUUUGGCAGUGCAAACGCGUAGACGCACGCAAAAUUGAAUUUGGAAGGUACGUGGUAAGGACUGUUUAUUAUUUUAUUCAUUUCUCAUAAAUAUUCUUAUAUUGUUUUAAUAGUUUGUUGUUAGGAAAAAGGGGGGAAGAAGAAAGAAGCAAGGAGGAAGGAAAAAGGAGAAAAAAAAAGGGGAUUGGGCAAAGAUGCCCAAUCGGAAAAUAGAGAGAGACAAGAGGAACGAAUUAGAAAAGGAGGGAGGAGAGCCUGCCCAAUGAGAAGAGAGGAAAGGAAAGGGAAGGAGAGGAGAUGAGGGGCACAGGAUCAUGGAUCCCUCACGCAGGAUCAUGACUUGACCCGAUCACCACGUUGGUUUUCGACGAAAUUCCGUCUCUCUAGUUGGUGUUUCUCGACCGUCCACCAUUCCCAAACAAUUAUUCGCCCUUCCUCCUUUAAAUUUCAACCUUAAAGGGACGAGAUUCGAAUUGGUUUCGUGAUGAACAAACCCACGGGUCCGAAGAGCAUUCGUCGGUGAUCCACCUUAUUCUGAAACGUUUACCUUCAAUUAGCACCACCAAAACACUGAUUUGGAACCCAGGAACAAUGCCCAAUCCUUUGUUGGGGCGUCGAGGUUCGAUUUGGCAGUGAUUCAAAGAACACUCAUAAUAGGGUUCCGACGGGUUUUAGAGAAAUUAGGGCCUUUCCUGGCCGAAUUGGCCUUGGUCGCAAGUAUGAAACUUACUGUACUCAUUGAGAUCUUCAUUCUUAUACAUUUUGGUAAUUUUUGGAAAUAGUUGAAUUUUUCGGCGAGUCGGGGCGCCCGACCACCACCCAUGGCAGUGCAUUGCCAAGGGGCCAUUGAUGUUAUUCUUAGGCUAAAUUAGAUGCCUUGAGCUCAGUUUUGGUAAUUGUAUGACGUAGGUUGAUUGUUGGAACCUAAAUUCUCUAUGUUACAUUAAUAGGUUAUUAUAUGAAUCGACAAUCUGACCGUUGGAUCAUCAUUAAACUUUAAUAGAUUAUUAUUCGUAAUAUUUGAUGAAUGUAGGAACUUACGGAUCAGAAAUCUGUCGUACGGAUCUUCCUGAAUUGGAUUUUUAAGUUCAUAAAAUAAAACGUUAACCGACACUUGAAUUCUACUACAAUUGGCAGAGAUCCAACCGUUGGAUCAUGAUGAAACCUUAGGACGUUGUUCUAGAAACAUAAUGUGGAUCCUUGUAAGUAACAGAUCGGAAAUCCGUGCUGCAGAUCUUCCUAAUUGAAUUACGUAAGGAUGUUUUUUAUGUAAAUUAUGUAUUCUAUCGGUAAAAACUCUGAGAUUCCACAAACGGUUAUAAAUUCCACAAACGGUUAUAAAUUCUAUCAUGUGUGUGUAUAUAUAUAUAUAUAUAUAUAUAUAUCGGUAAAAACUCUGAGAUUCCACAAAUGGUUAUAAAUUGAUAAUUCCACAAAAGGUUAUAAAUUCUAUCGUGUGUGUAUAUAUAUAUGAUUGAUAAUUCCACAAGCGGUUAUAAAUUGAUUAUUGCAUAUAAUUACUGUGAAGGCUUUGAAGUAUUAAUGCGAACUACAAAUGACUUGAUCCCUGUUUAGGGUACGUAGGCAGUCUAACGAGACGUUAGAUGCAGCCAUCAAGAAGUGAGAUUAAAUAAUUGUGACAAUAGCCUUGUUUAGGGAAUUGAGUAAUGUGAGGGACAUUGGUGGUAAAUGUGAGAUUUAACCUUAUGAUUUGGUGGUUAAAUGUUGGUCAUAAAUCAAUGUGUGAAAAAUAAAGAAUUUGAGGUAAGGAAACGUAAGUCAGGAUAGUUAAUUAAACUAGUGUCUAGUUUGGCUUAUCACCGAUAAUUAUUCUCGAAAAUAAAUAGUUUGGGAGUAGGGAGUUACAGCUUAUGCAUUUUUAUGCCAUAUUAUAUAUAUAUAUAUAUAUACACACGUAUAUAAUUGAAAAUGCUAUAACAUGGUUGAGUAUUAGAUUGCAUCAUGGUUUAUCUAUAUGUAUAUUACCUGCACAUAAUUAUUGUGAACGUUUUGAAGUGUAAAGGUGAACGCAGGACACCCAGGUAAGUUCAGGUGAGUUUAUAGUAUUAGUUGAAAUGAUGGAGUUAUGGAAUGACUACAUGUAUCUUUUAGGCAACUCGGACCUUGUCGUACAGGUUGCAAUGAUAGGUAACUCCGACACUGUCUUACAGGUUGCCCAUGAGUCAUAUAUGUUACAAUAGAUGCAGUUAGAGCUCAUAAACUUGCACCCUGGUGUUAGUGUUCCCGCCUGUGGCCACGUGAUGUUUACCUCCCGCACCUUACGCUCACCUUGGAUCUAAGGUAGGUGCACAGUCUUGUUGUACAGACCACUAUAGGUAGUUUCGACUCAUAGGUGACCCGUGUUUAUUCGCACAAUCUUCACGUGAUCGUAGCACUUAAGCGUACUUAUUUACACCCAGUCCUGUCGUACAGACCACUAUGGUGGUUUCGACUCGUGUAUAGGGAUAUGUGAUGAGAUAUGGGUUCAGUCGUAUAGGCCACAAGAGGUGGAUCCGGCUGACAUAUUACAGGGACAUGUGAUGAGAUAUGGAUAAGUCAUACAGGUCACCAUAGGUGACUCCGACUUAUGUGCUAGCGUUGAUUGAUGAGAUAUGGAUAAGUCGUACAUGUCACUGUAAGUGACUCCGACUUAUGUGCUAGCGUUGAUUGAUGAGAUAUGGAUAAGUCGUACAGGUCACUAUAGGUGACUCCGACUUAUGUGCUAGCAUUGAUUGAUGAGAUAUGGGUGCAGUUGUACAGGUCACAUUAGAUGGCUCCGACUUGCGUGCUAACAUAGAUUAUUGAGCACAUGAUUAAUUAUAUUACUGAUGAGUUGCUGUGUUGUGGUAUAGUUAUGGAAUUAUAUAUUUUUGAUUUCAUAUUGAUACAUGAUAUAAUUUUCUAGAAACUAUACAGGUGUUGCAUUGAGGGGUUAUAACUUUUUAGAAGGCUUCUAUUGAAAAUUUUAUUUCUAGGGCCACUCACCCUUGUUUUGUUUCCACCCUCCAGGUUUUAUUAUCUGAGCUUUCUUAUCAUCGAGGAUUUGUGGUAAAUCUUAGAAUUGGAGAUUUCUUUCGAGGGUAUGAUUCUUAAUCCACUUUACUGUACUUACUUAUGCUCUAAUGUCACGUGUGAAGUUGGUUCAUUCCCGCUUACCAGCACACUCUGGUUUUUAGGCACCCUUAGGUUUAAAUUUAUUCACAUUUUUCACAUUAUCAUACUUUAUGGUUUCGUCACCUUCCAGGUGUCAGCCAACACAGCUUGAUUCGGAGUCCUAGUGGACAUCUCGGGUCGAAGUGUGUCAAGAGACCCAAGCGAGAUCUGAAAAUAUACAUUCAGAUCUUAGAAUAUAUGAACUCAAAGUGGGAAAAAACUCGGACCUGAUUUGAUACAAAGAAGGGAGAGAGAGACCAUGAUGCAUGAGCAGUGUUGGCGAUGAUGGGUAACUGAUAGGAACAUGGAAAGGAUGGGAUUGAAAGAAAUGAGCUUUAAGGUUCAGAUUGAGGUUUGAAAAGAAAGCUAAAAGCCUAAUGAAAAAAACAAAACAGAAUAGAAAAGCCGGUGAUGGACGUCGGAUGCCCAAGCCGCCGACUCUCAAAAUGGAAAACUGAAUGAAAGCAAAAUCAGAUAUGAAAUUGAGGAAAAGGAAAGAGCUCUCACAAAGAGAGAGAGAGAGAGAGAGAGAGAGAGAGAGAGAGAGAGAGAGAGAGAGAGAGAGAGAGAGAGAGAGAGAGAGAAGCUCCCACAAAGGGAGAGAAGAGCUCUCACAAACAGGAGAGAAAAACUCUCACCAAUUCCUCUGUAAUCCAAAAUAAAACAAAGGGGAGAGAGAACUUUAUCUCUGAAGGAAAAACACAAGAGGAAGAGGAAAAAACGAAGAGAGUUGUGACGGUGAAAACAAAGAGAUAGAGGAAAGUAAAAGAAAGAGAGAGAGGGGGGAAAAACAAAGGAGAAAAAGGAAAAUGAAGAGAAAGAGAGUGAGCUGAUUAGAUUUUGGCACAAUAUAAUAACAAUUAAAAAACUUAAUAAUUAUUAUUUUGACAUUAAAAGAAUCUAAUAAUUAUUAUUUUGCAUGUAUAAAGCAAAAUAAUGAAUUUAUAGGUUAUAAAUGUGAAGAAUGACACUAUCAUCGGUGUCGGAAAACCUAAAGCACACCAAACAUACACAACGGUGCAACUGACUCUCAAAAAGACAUUGAUAAUGAACGGUGUCCCUAAAACAGUGUCCUAUGGCCUGUUUUCUAAUAGUGAUAGAUUGGCCAUUAAGAUUCAAGGUAGGAAUUUUACGGAAAGGGUUCCUCUUCAGAUCCCUUCCUCCUAAUCCAUCAAAUCAGGGGAUUUGUGUCGUUGAAAUUUGAUCUAACGACUGAAAUUAUUAUAACUUUUAAAGUGAGUCCCUGUUUGUAGUCAUUUAAUCAAAUUUCAACAGCACGGAUCUCUGAUUUGAUGGAUUAUGAAGAAGGGAUCCGCAAAGCAUCCCUUUCCAAAUUUUAUAAUUGUGACCCAUAAAACAUGUUAAAUUAGAAUUGUUUAUCCACAUUUUCCAUGUCCCUCACAUGCCUUAUAAUUAGUCGGUGAGACUGUAUGACCUACUUUAGUUUGGAACUUCUGGUGUAAUUUCCCUUCACUCACUUUUGUCACCAACAUUAUUAUGAUUAUUUAAUUUCAACUCCCAUAAAAAGCCACCUUCAUCUGCUUUCCCUUCAACCACUAGCCAGAACCCCAUUUUCUCUUCCUCUCUUUACUCUCUUUCCCGAAAAGCACUUAAUUAAAAAGCCACUUCUCCAUCUUUCAGCUUGGAAUUAAGCAGCUGAUCCAAUGGCAAAGCAGAUGCAGAUGAGAUUGUUGUGUUCUUGGACUGAGGUUGCACCUGCCCUUUUGAUAUCUCACAACAAGACUUCAACUUGUCCUGAAUUGGAGACAAUAACUGAAGACUGGGAGCUGGAGGCUGAGGAGAAAGACUUGCAGGACUACAAAAAUAAAAUGUUAGAAGUUUGUGGAUUCUAAUGAAUUUUCAGGGUUCUCAUGUCCUGAUUAUUUAUAGUUUUCAGUUUUUUGUGUGAAUUUGUAUAAGUUUGUGGACUUCGUUGGAUUAGUCAACAGAAUUAUGUAGUUUCAAUGGGCUUCCAUUCCAUCUUAUAUCUUAUGAAAAGGAAAAAAAAAUGAUGCCUUUGUAUUUCUAGUUGUGUAAUUAUUGAUCAAAGAUGAUGAUUUCUGCUAUGCUGUGAAACCAAAGAGAUGUUAAACAUUCCUAGGGCACACUCAAGACUCACUCCUUGAUGAAAUCAAUUUUAAGUUUGGCUGUACAUGCCAAUGCCAUAGGUGAUUCUUAAUAGAGAAAUGAUCAACCAUAGACAGAUCCACACUGAAUUGACAGUAUUUCGUGUGGUUAUGAUUGUCA
Molecule: long non-coding RNA, 23393 nt
Filed under: Malus domestica (apple)
Lineage: Eukaryota; Viridiplantae; Streptophyta; Magnoliopsida; Rosales; Rosaceae
Description: long non-coding RNA (MDOM_LNC003916)
Source: RNAcentral